RNAcentral lists this long non-coding RNA (232 nucleotides) under Elaeis guineensis (African oil palm). Its description in RNAcentral is "long non-coding RNA (EGUI_LNC051153)". Lineage: Eukaryota; Viridiplantae; Streptophyta; Magnoliopsida; Arecales; Arecaceae. The record is from RNAcentral.
GCCUAUGUUAAACGAUAACAGGCAGACAAAUUAGAAUUUAGGUCCUUUAGGGCUCAUUUUAUUGGAUAUCCUAAAGAGUUCUUAGGAUAUUAUUUCUAUCUUCUGGAAGACCACAAUGUGAUUGUGAGUCGACAUGUGGUUUUUCUUGAAAAAUAGUUUAUUCAAAAUGGAGACAUGAGAAGAUAGAUUAGAUUCGAAGAGAAAGUCUCCAAAGAGCAGCGAGCCUUGGAAC